GACGAACCGGACAAACGUUAUUCGGAAUUACUGGGCUUAAAGGGUUUGUAGGCGGCCUUGUAAGUCAGGUGUGAAAUCCCUCGGCUCAACCGAGGAAUAGCGCUUGAUACUGCAAGGCUUGAGGGAGACAGGGGUAAGCGGAACUGAUGGUGGAGCGGUGAAAUGCGUUGAUAUCAUCAGGAACACCGGUGGCGAAGGCAGCUCGCUGGGACGGUACUGACGCUGAGGCGCGAAAGCGUGGGGAGCAAACAGG
RNAcentral lists this ribosomal RNA (253 nucleotides) under uncultured bacterium. RNAcentral's name for it is "partial 16S ribosomal RNA". It matches the Rfam family "Bacterial small subunit ribosomal RNA", at positions 524 to 776 of the family's 1533-position model. The record is from RNAcentral.